Molecule: ribosomal RNA, 1283 nt
Filed under: uncultured bacterium
Lineage: Bacteria
Description: bacterial SSU rRNA
Rfam family: Bacterial small subunit ribosomal RNA
Source: RNAcentral
GAGUGGCAGACGGGUGAGUAACGCGUGGGAACAUACCCCCCGGUUCGGAAUAACUCAGGGAAACUUGAGCUAAUACCGGAUACGUCCAAGGUUUUCAUCGACCUUGGAGAAAGAUUUAUCGCCGGAAGAUUGGCCCGCGUCUGAUUAGCUUGUUGGUGAGGUAAUGGCUCACCAAGGCGACGAUCAGUAGCUGGUCUGAGAGGAUGAUCAGCCACAUUGGGACUGAGACACGGCCCAAACUCCUACGGGAGGCAGCAGUGGGGAAUAUUGGACAAUGGGCGAAAGCCUGAUCCAGCCAUGCCGCGUGAGUGAUGAAGGCCUUAGGGUUGUAAAGCUCUUUUACCCGGGAAGAUAAUGACGGUACCGGGAGAAUAAGCCCCGGCUAUCUUCGUGCCAGCAGCCGCGGUAAUACGAAUGGGGCUAGCGUUGUUCGGAAUUACUGGGCGUAAACCGCACGUAAGGCGGAUCCUUAAGUCUGGGGUGAAAUCCCGAGGCUCAACCUUCGGAACUGCCCUUUGAAUACUGGGGAUAUCGAGUCCCGGGAGAAGUGAAGUGGAAACUGCGAGUGUAGAGGUGAAAUUCGUAGAUAAUCGCAAGAAACCACCAGUGGCGAAGGCGGCUCACUGGCCCGGUACUGACGCUGAGGUGCGAAAGCGUGGGGAGCAAAACAGGAUUAGAUACCCUGGUAGUCCACGCCGUAAAACGAUGGAUGCUAGCCGUUAGACAGCUUGCUGUUUAGUGGCGCAGUUAACGCGUUAAGCAUCCCGCCUGGGGAGUACGGUCGCAAGAUUAAAACUCAAAGGAAUUGACGGGGGCCCGCACAAGCGGUGGAGCAUGUGGUUUAAUUCGAAGCAACGCGAAGAACCUUACCAGCUCUUGACAUGUCUCGUAUGGGGACCGGAGACGGUUUCCUUCAGUUCGGCUGGCGAGAACACAGGUGCUGCAUGGCUGUCGUCAGCUCGUGUCGUGAGAUGUUGGGUUAAGUCCCGCAACGAGCGCAACCCUCGCCCUUAGUUGCCAUCAUUCAGUUGGGCACUCUAGGGGGACUGCCGGUGAUAAGCCGAGAGGAAGGUGGGGAUGACGUCAAGUCCUCAUGGCCCUUACGGGCUGGGCUACACACGUGCUACAAUGGCGGUGACAAUGGGAUGCUGAGGGGCGACCCCGAGCAAAUCUCAAAAAGCCGUCUCAGUUCGGAUUGCACUCUGCAACUCGAGUGCAUGAAGGUGGAAUCGCUAGUAAUCGUAGAUCAGAACGCUACGGUGAAUACGUUCCCGGGCCUUGUA